AUUCUGUGAUGAGGGUACUUUUGUAAUAAUUCUUUGUACCUUUCCAAUGCCUUAUACAGUGACUCAUCAUCCAUUUGUUAAAGAGCAGUGAUCUCAUUCCUCAACUU
Small nucleolar RNA from Gossypium raimondii (Peruvian cotton), 107 nucleotides. It matches the Rfam family "Plant small nucleolar RNA R71". From Rfam's summary of the family: R71 is a member of the C/D box family of snoRNAs containing the C (UGAUGA) and D (CUGA) box motifs. Multiple nearly identical copies of this snoRNA have been identified in Arabidopsis, and it is thought to function as a 2'-O-ribose methylation guide for 18S ribosomal RNA. The record is from Rfam. NCBI's taxonomy places the organism in Eukaryota, Viridiplantae, Streptophyta, Magnoliopsida, Malvales, Malvaceae.